AUUGAACGCUGGUGGAAUGCUUUACACAUGCAAGUCGAAUGGUAGAGUAGCAAUACUUGAGAGUGGCGAACGGGUGAGUAAUAUAUCGGAGCGUGCCCAGUCGUGGGGGAUAACGUAGUGAAAAUUACGCUAAUACCGCACACGAUCUAUGGAUGAAAGCGGGGGACCUUCGGGCCUCGCGCGAUUGGAGCGGCCGAUAUCAGAUUAGGUAGUUGGUGGGGUAAAGGCUCACCAAGCCGACGAUCUGUAGCUGGUCUGAGAGGACGACCAGCCACACUGGAACUGAGACACGGUCCAGACUCCUACGGGAGGCAGCAGUGGGGAAUUUUGGACAAUGGGCGAAAGCCUGAUCCAGCCAUUCCGCGUGCAGGAUGAAGGCCUUCGGGUUGUAAACUGCUUUUGUACAGAACGAAAAGGUUUUUUCUAAUAAAGAGAGCCCAUGACGGUACUGUAAGAAUAAGCACCGGCUAACUACGUGCCAGCCGCCGCCGUAA
RNAcentral lists this ribosomal RNA (494 nucleotides) under uncultured bacterium. RNAcentral's name for it is "partial 16S ribosomal RNA". It matches the Rfam family "Bacterial small subunit ribosomal RNA", at positions 30 to 523 of the family's 1533-position model. The record is from RNAcentral.